UACGUAGGGGGCAAGCGUUGUCCGGAUUUAUUGGGCGUAAAGAGCGUGUAGGCGGCUAGGUAGGUCCGUUGUGAAAACUCGAGGCUCAACCUCGAGACGCCGGUGGAAACCAUCUAGCUAGAGUCCGGAAGAGGAGAGUGGAAUUCCUGGUGUAGCGGUGAAAUGCGCAGAUAUCGUAAGGAAGACCAGUGGCGAAGGCGGGUCUCUGGACAGUUCCUGACGCUGAGGCACGAAGGCCAGGGGAGCAAACGGG
This 253-nucleotide ribosomal RNA is filed under the name uncultured bacterium. RNAcentral describes it as "partial 16S ribosomal RNA". It matches the Rfam family "Bacterial small subunit ribosomal RNA", at positions 524 to 776 of the family's 1533-position model. The record is from RNAcentral.